CAGGCUUAACACAUGCAAGUCGAGGGGCAGCAUGGUCUUAGCUUGCUAAGACUGAUGGCGACCGGCGCACGGGUGAGUAACACGUAUCCAACCUGCCGUCUACUCUUGGACAGCCUUCUGAAAGGAAGAUUAAUACAAGAUGGCAUCAUGAGUCCGCAUGUUCACAUGAUUAAAGGUAUUCCGGUAGACGAUGGGGAUGCGUUCCAUUAGAUAGUAGGCGGGGUAACGGCCCACCUAGUCUUCGAUGGAUAGGGGUUCUGAGAGGAAGGUCCCCCACAUUGGAACUGAGACACGGUCCAAACUCCUACGGGAGGCAGCAGUGAGGAAUAUUGGUCAAUGGGCGAGAGCCUGAACCAGCCAAGUAGCGUGAAGGAUGACUGCCCUAUGGGUUGUAAACUUCUUUUAUAAAGGAAUAAAGUCGGGUAUGCAUACCCGUUUGCAUGUACUUUAUGAAUAAGGAUCGGCUAACUCCGUGCCAGCAGCCGCGGUAAUACGGAGGAUCCGAGCGUUAUCCGGAUUUAUUGGGUUUAAAGGGAGCGUAGAUGGAUGUUUAAGUCAGUUGUGAAAGUUUGCGGCUCAACCGUAAAAUUGCAGUUGAUACUGGAUAUCUUGAGUGCAGUUGAGGCAGGCGGAAUUCGUGGUGUAGCGGUGAAAUGCUUAGAUAUCACGAAGAACUCCGAUUGCGAAGGCAGCCUGCUAAGCUGCAACUGACAUUGAGGCUCGAAAGUGUGGGUAUCAAACAGGAUUAGAUACCCUGGUAGUCCACACGGUAAACGAUGAAUACUCGCUGUUUGCGAUAUACGGCAAGCGGCCAAGCGAAAGCGUUAAGUAUUCCACCUGGGGAGUACGCCGGCAACGGUGAAACUCAAAGGAAUUGACGGGGGCCCGCACAAGCGGAGGAACAUGUGGUUUAAUUCGAUGAUACGCGAGGAACCUUACCCGGGCUUAAAUUGCAGAUGAAUUACGGUGAAAGCCGUAAGCCGCAAGGCAUCUGUGAAGGUGCUGCAUGGUUGUCGUCAGCUCGUGCCGUGAGGUGUCGGCUUAAGUGCCAUAACGAGCGCAACCCUUGUUGUCAGUUACUAACAGGUUCCGCUGAGGACUCUGACAAGACUGCCAUCGUAAGAUGUGAGGAAGGUGGGGAUGACGUCAAAUCAGCACGGCCCUUACGUCCGGGGCUACACACGUGUUACAAUGGGGGGUACAGAGGGCCGCUACCACGCGAGUGGAUGCCAAUCCCAAAAGCCUCUCUCAGUUCGGACUGGAGUCUGCAACCCGACUCCACGAAGCUGGAUUCGCUAGUAAUCGCGCAUCAGCCACGGCGCGGUGAAUACGUUCCCGGGCCUUGUACACACCGCCCGUCAAGCCAUGGGAGCCGGGGGUACCUGAAGUGCGUAACCGCGAGGAGCGCCCUAGGGUAAAACUGGUGACUGGGGC
Molecule: ribosomal RNA, 1434 nt
Filed under: uncultured organism
Description: 16S ribosomal RNA
Rfam family: Bacterial small subunit ribosomal RNA
Source: RNAcentral